Molecule: ribosomal RNA, 269 nt
Filed under: Escherichia coli
Lineage: Bacteria; Pseudomonadati; Pseudomonadota; Gammaproteobacteria; Enterobacterales; Enterobacteriaceae
Description: partial 23S ribosomal RNA
Rfam family: Bacterial large subunit ribosomal RNA
Source: RNAcentral
AGUACGAGAGGACCGGAGUGGACGCAUCACUGGUGUUCGGGUUGUCAUGCCAAUGGCACUGCCCGGUAGCUAAAUGCGGAAGAGAUAAGUGCUGAAAGCAUCUAAGCACGAAACUUGCCCCGAGAUGAGUUCUCCCUGACUCCUUGAGAGUCCUGAAGGAACGUUGAAGACGACGACGUUGAUAGGCCGGGUGUGUAAGCGCAGCGAUGCGUUGAGCUAACCGGUACUAAUGAACCGUGAGGCUUAACCUUACAACGCCGAAGGUGUUU